GCAAAGUUCUAGAAGAACAUGUAAGAUAGAAGCUACUACUGCAGCCAUCUUUGGAAAAUGCAGUCCUGCCAGACAAAGAUCACAGAGCUAUUCUGCUUUGACAGAAUGGAGCAGUUCAAACCAGGAGACGAAGAAUCAAAGAUCAGCUGGGCAGAAAAGCUCCCUACCACAUAAUGAACAAGGUUACAUGGUCAGACACAGCCCCGAAGUAAGUGUGUUACUGUGCAAAGUGAGGCCAUGAGUGUAUUUCAGAAUAUUACAUUAAAAAAUGUUCUUGGGUUAUUUGCC
This 288-nucleotide long non-coding RNA is filed under the name Callithrix jacchus (white-tufted-ear marmoset). RNAcentral's name for it is "lncRNA (ENSCJAG00000074521.1)". Lineage: Eukaryota; Metazoa; Chordata; Mammalia; Primates; Cebidae. The record is from RNAcentral.